GCUUAACACAUGCAAGUCGAACGAGAACGGAUUAUAGCUUGCUAUAAUUGUCAGCUAAGUGGCGCACGGGUGAGUAAUGUAUAGGUAAUAUGCCUCUUACUAAGGGAUAACAAUUGGAAACGAUUGCUAAUACCUUAUACUCCUUAUUAACCUAAGUUAAUAAGGGAAAGAUUUAUUGGUAAGAGAUUAGCCUGUAUUGUAUCAGUUAGUUGGUGGGGUAAUGGCCUACCAAGACAAUGACACAUAACUGGUUUGAGAGGAUGAUCAGUCACACUGGAACUGAGACACGGUCCAGACUCCUACGGG
This is a ribosomal RNA of 306 nucleotides. It matches the Rfam family "Bacterial small subunit ribosomal RNA", at positions 46 to 345 of the family's 1533-position model.